RNAcentral lists this ribosomal RNA (1026 nucleotides) under human gut metagenome. RNAcentral describes it as "bacterial SSU rRNA". It matches the Rfam family "Bacterial small subunit ribosomal RNA", at positions 37 to 1063 of the family's 1533-position model. The record is from RNAcentral.
UGGCGGCGUGCCUAAUACAUGCAAGUCGAGCGAGGAAAGUAGCAAUACUUUUCGAGCGGCGAACGGGUGAGUAACACGUUGGGAAUCUACCCCUGAGACCGGAAUACCUGGAAGAAAUUUCAGCUAAUGCCGGAUACGUGGUCAACACAGAAGUGAUGAUCAUAAAAGGCGGCCUUAAAGCCGCGCUGAGGGAUGAACCUGCGGCGCAUUAGCUAGUUGGUGAGAUAAAAGCCCACCAAGGCGAGGAUGCGUAGCCGACCUGAGAGGGUGAACGGCCACACUGGAACUGAGACACGGUCCAGACUCCUACGGGAGGCAGCAGUAGGGAGUAUUCGGCAAUGGGGGAAACCCUGACCGAGCAACGCCGCGUGAAUGAUGAAGGUCUUCGGAUUGUAAAAUUCUGUGGUAAGAGAAGAAAGAUAUAAAGAGGAAAUGCUUUGUAUUUGACGGUAUCUUGCUAGAAAGCCACGGCUAACUACGUGCCAGCAGCCGCGGUAAUACGUAGGUGGCAAGCGUUAUCCGGAAUUACUGGGCGUAAAGAGUGAGCAGGCGGUUAGAUAAGUCUAUGGUUAAAUGCAACAGCUCAACUGUUGUUCGCUAUAGAAACUAUUUAACUAGAGUGCGGGAGAGGUAAGUGGAACUCCAUAUGUAGCGGUGGAAUGCUUAGAUAUAUGGAAGAACACCAGAGGCGAAGGCGGCUUACCAGUCCGUAACUGACGCUCAGUCACGAAAGCGUGGGGAGCAAAUAGGAUUAGAUAUCCUAGUAGUCCACGCCGUAAACGAUGAGAACCUGAUGCAGGAGAUAUUCUGUGUCGAAGCUAACGCGUUAAGUUCUCCGCCUGGGUACUACGUUCGCAAGAAUAAAACUUAAAGGAAUUGACGGGCGCCCGCACAAGCAGUGGAGCAUGGGGUUUAAUUCGUCGAUACACGAAAAACCUUACCAGGGCUUGACAUCCCGCUAAAAGCCUUAGAAAUAAGGAAAUAGUUAUAGCGGUGACAGGUGGUGCAUGGUUGUCGUCAGCUCGU